Molecule: long non-coding RNA, 1606 nt
Organism: Xenopus tropicalis (tropical clawed frog)
Lineage: Eukaryota; Metazoa; Chordata; Amphibia; Anura; Pipidae
Exons: 3
Source: RefSeq, a predicted model, not a curated record
GACAUUUGUAAUGACCCUUGAACAAAACUGAGUAAAACGGAAUUAAAGAUUUGACAAGGGAAAGAGAGCGGAAACAGAAGCACUAAUUAUGGCCCUGUGAAGUACACUUUUGCUUUUUUUGCACCAGUUGCAAGAGAAUCACCUACUUGUUCAAGAAUACUUGCUCAGUGUAACUUUUUAAUACAUUAAGUGAAGGAAAAGUUGUGCCUUUCAGUUUUUGGGGCAAAUGAACAGGUGUCAUAUAAAUGAACAUUCAUGCAAGACCAUGGAGUUGGACCUAUGAUGCUAUGUGAACAAUAACCCAUGAAUAUGAUGCAAAGAAUCGUAAUUUAAUUCAUGGUACAUGAAAGGAAAAGCACAUCAGUUAUUUAGAAAAUCCACCACAAUCCUGAUAAAACUGCAGCAGAAAACUAAAACUACAGGACCUUCUAAACACUGAAUCUACAGUUAUGUUUUAUCAAUAAUGAAUUGCUAGUGUUGCAUAAAGGGGAUUCCACUCAUAUAUCAACCUUUUUGACUUAUUAUAAAUCCUUUGUUGAAAUUAUUGUGGCUGGUUCAAUAAUUCAGAUUAGACCUCAUGUUUAUUAAUGCACUACAUCUGUGCAAACAACAUGUCAAGCAGAGAGUUUAUUGUAAUUGCCUGAGCAAACAGAACCUGAAAGAAGCAAUUUCCAGUUACAAUGUGCUAUGACAAGUAAUGGGGUAAUUGGCAUUCUGUCCUGAUUACUUCCACCUUCCUUUUCAUCAGGUCUAUAUUGAACGUGAUAGAUAGAUUUAUAGGAAGCGAAGGUGUUUGAUAAUAUAGUUUACUGUUUUAUAGGUUAGUUAUUAAAGACAAUCAUCAUUUUGUCUAGGAGAUCUUAUUAGUUUCAGUAUUAUUUAUUCAUAUGCGUAACACAUGGGAGCAGAACUUUCUCACUGAAUCAACAUGGAAGCUGAAUAGUCAACAUACUACAAGUGAUCAAAUGAAUACUGUUAUUAACAUUUGCUCUCUCUAUCUUUAUUUAAAUCUUCAGAAAUAUAUAUACGUCUCCCUCUUCUGCUGGUGUGGGAAGCCCUGCACUUAUUUCCUUUUUUGGUGCUACAGGGGUCUUGUGUCCCAGCUAUAUAAAGCAGGUGUAACUGUAUAUUGGCAUGCUUGCACCCAGAGUCAGGACACACUAUGCUGUAAUACCCCUUUUUGGAAACCUCUCCACCACAAGAUAGAGAAGUUUAUUUGCAGGAAAGCUGUAGACUUUCAACAUGCAGUUCUGCCAGCCUGGAGUCCCUUAACAAAGGAAUUCAGCAUAUUUGAUCUAUGACCUGAUGAGAAUCCCCAAUGAAGUUGCAGCUUCUUCAGAGUUCUUAAAAAACUCCCUUUGGUUUUCCAUGACCUGAAAAAAGCAUGUUUUCCUGCUUUAGAGGUUUUAUGUUUACCUUAGACGUAACAUCUUUACAGAAUCACUUGUCUCCACCUGCUUCUCCUUUCAGUACUUCCUGUUUCCCUCUGCAGGCUUUCCUUCCUGUUACCUCGCAGCGGUGGGGACUCCUCCCCUUUCCUGCACAGAAACAACUGCUCCAUCACAGAGAGUAACACAGAGAAUGGAAUAGGUGUCCCCUGACUCCC